GACGAACGCUGGCGGCGUGCUUAACACAUGCAAGUCGAACGGUGAAGCGCCUUCCUUUUUGGUGGGUGUGGAUGAGUGGCGAACGGGUGAGUAACACGUGAGUAACCUGCCCCCUUCUUCUGGAUAACCGCAUGAAAGUGUGGCUAAUACGGGAUAUUCUGGGUCUGUCGCAUGAUGGGUCUGGGAAAGAUAUUGUUUCGGUGGGGGAUGGGCUCGCGGCCUAUCAGCUUGUUGGUGGGGUGAUGGCCUACCAAGGCGGUGAGGGGUAGCCGGCCUGAGAGGGUGGACGGUCACACUGGGACUGAGACACGGCCCAGACUCCUACGGGAGGCAGCAGUGGGGAAUAUUGCACAGUGGGCGCAAGCCUGAUGCAGCGACGCCGCGUGAGGGAUGGAGGCCUUCGGGUUGUGAACCUCUUUCGCCAGUGAAGCAGGCCUGCCUCGUUUGUGGGUGGGUUGACGGUAGCUGGAGAAGAAGCGCCGGCUAACUACGUG
Molecule: ribosomal RNA, 494 nt
Filed under: uncultured bacterium
Lineage: Bacteria
Description: partial 16S ribosomal RNA
Rfam family: Bacterial small subunit ribosomal RNA
Source: RNAcentral